AUUGGACGCUGGCGGCAGGCCUAACACAUGCAAGUCGAACGGUAACAGGAAGAGGCUUGCUUCUUUGCUGACGAGUGGCGGACGGGUGAGUAAUGUCUGGGAAACCGCUUGAUGGAGGGGGAUAACUACUGGAAACGGUAGCUAAUACCGCAUAACGUCGCAAGCCCUAAGAGGAGGACCUUCGGGCCUCUUGCCAUCGGAUGGGCCCAGAUGGGGUUAGCUAGGAGGUGGGGUAACGGCUCACCUAGGGGUCGCUCCCUAGCUCGUCUGAGCGGAUGAACACCCACCCUAGAACUGGGCCACGGUCCAGACUCCUACGGGAGGCACCAGAGUGCAAUAUUGGACAGUGGUGGCAAGCCUGAUGCAGCCAGGCCGAGUGUAUGACGAAGACCUUGGGGUUGUAAAGUACUUUCAGCGGGGAGGAAGGGAGUAAAGUUAAUACCUUGGCUCAUUGACGUUACCCGCAGAAGAAGCACCGGCUAACUCCGUG
RNAcentral lists this ribosomal RNA (490 nucleotides) under uncultured bacterium. RNAcentral's name for it is "partial 16S ribosomal RNA". It matches the Rfam family "Bacterial small subunit ribosomal RNA", at positions 30 to 507 of the family's 1533-position model. The record is from RNAcentral.